AGCUUACCAAGGCUAUGACGGGUAGCUGGUCUGAGAGGAUGAUCAGCCACACUGGAACUGAGACACGGUCCAGACUCCUACGGGAGGCAGCAGUGGGGAAUAUUGCGCAAUGGGGGCAACCCUGACGCAGCAACGCCGCGUGGAGGAUGACGCACUUCGGUGUGUAAACUCCUUUUAACAAGGAAGAUAAUGACGGUACUUGUUGAAUAAGCACCGGCUAACUCCGUGCCAGCAGCCGCGGUAAUACGGAGGGUGCAAGCGUUACUCGGAAUCACUGGGCGUAAAGCGCAUGUAGGCGGACUUACAAGUCAGGUGUGAAAUCCUAUGGCUCAACCAUAGAACAGCACUUGAAACUGUAAGUCUAGAGUUCGGGAGAGGCAGAUGGAAUUUCCGGUGUAGGGGUAAAAUCCGUAGAGAUCGGAAGGAAUACCUAUUGCGAAGGCGAUCUGCUGGAACGCAACUGACGCUCAGAUGCGAAAGCGUGGGUAGCAAACAGGAUUAGAUACCCUGGUAGUCCACGCCCUAAACGAUGGAUGCUAGUUGUUGGGGUGCCAGUCACUUCAGUAAUGCAGCUAACGCAUUAAGCAUCCCGCCUGGGGAGUACGGUCGCAAGAUUAAAACUCAAAGGAAUAGACGGGGACCCGCACAAGCGGUGGAGCAUGUGGUUUAAUUCGAAGAUACGCGAAGAACCCUUACCCUGGGCUUGACAUUCCUAAGGAACUUCUGUAGAGAUACAUUGGUGCUAGCUUGCUAGAACUUAGUGACAGGUGCUGCACGGCUGUCGUCAGCUCGUGUCGUGAGAUGUUUNGGGUUAAGUCCCGCAACGAGCGCAACUCCCCGUCCUUAGUUGCUAACGGGUUCGGCCGAGAACUCUAAGGAGACUGCCUUCGUAACACCAGGAAGCUGGGGACGACGUCAAGUCAUCAUGGCCCUUAUGCCCAGGGCACACACGUGCUACAAUGGGGUGUACAGAGAGAAGCAAUACUGCGAAGUGGAGCAAAUCUCUAAAGCAUCUCUUAGUUCGGAUUGCUCUCUGCAACUCGAGAGCAUGAAGCCGGAAUCGCUAGUAAUCGUGAAUCAGCUACCUCACGGUGAUACGUUCCCGGGUCUUGUACUCACCGCCCGUCACACCAUGGGAGUGCAUUCACCCGAA
RNAcentral lists this ribosomal RNA (1153 nucleotides) under uncultured organism. Its description in RNAcentral is "bacterial SSU rRNA". It matches the Rfam family "Bacterial small subunit ribosomal RNA", at positions 262 to 1425 of the family's 1533-position model. The record is from RNAcentral.